UGACAGCAUCUCUGAAGAGCUAAAC
This 25-nucleotide non-coding RNA is filed under the name Mus musculus (house mouse). The record is from RNAcentral. Lineage: Eukaryota; Metazoa; Chordata; Mammalia; Rodentia; Muridae.